AUGAAGAGGAGACUAUACGAAACGUAGUUUCGUAUUUGGAAUGUCUCCGAUGACCUGUCGCGGAGCGCAUGCGAGAGGGCAUUACAUGUU
RNAcentral lists this small RNA (90 nucleotides) under Hespellia stercorisuis DSM 15480. Its description in RNAcentral is "GA-cis RNA". It matches the Rfam family "GA-cis RNA". Lineage: Bacteria; Bacillati; Bacillota; Clostridia; Lachnospirales; Lachnospiraceae. The record is from Rfam by way of RNAcentral.